RNAcentral lists this transfer RNA (76 nucleotides) under Proteus mirabilis. RNAcentral's name for it is "tRNA-Ala". It matches the Rfam family "tRNA". Rfam says of the family: Transfer RNA (tRNA) molecules are approximately 80 nucleotides in length. Lineage: Bacteria; Pseudomonadati; Pseudomonadota; Gammaproteobacteria; Enterobacterales; Morganellaceae. The record is from RNAcentral.
GGGGCUAUAGCUCAGCUGGGAGAGCGCUUGCAUGGCAUGCAGGAGGUCAGCGGUUCAAUCCCGCUUAGCUCCACCA